AACGAACGCUGGCGGCAGGCUUAACACAUGCAAGUCGAACGGUUGUAGCAAUACAGCAGUGGCGCACGGGUGAGUAACGCGUGGAUAUCUGCCUUUUGGUUCGGAAUAACUCCGGGAAACUGGAGCUAAUACCGGAUGGUUCCUACGGGAUAAAGAUUUAUCGCCAAAAGAUGAGUCCGCGUACGAUUAGCUAGUUGGUGGGGUAAUGGCCCACCAAGGCGACGAUCGUUAGCUGGUCUGAGAGGACGAUCAGCCACACUGGGACUGAGACACGGCCCAGACUCCUACGGGAGGCAGCAGUGGGGAAUAUUGGACAAUGGGGGCGAACCCUGAUCCAGCCAUGCCGCGUGAGUGAUGAAGGCCUCGG
Molecule: ribosomal RNA, 367 nt
Filed under: uncultured bacterium
Lineage: Bacteria
Description: bacterial SSU rRNA
Rfam family: Bacterial small subunit ribosomal RNA
Source: RNAcentral